AAGGAUCAUUAAAGAUUUAAAAAUAACGGAAUACACUUUGAAGAGAGACUUGUUGAGGAACAGCCUGCGCUUAAUUGCGCGGUUAGACUGAGACUGGUUGUUAAUUUCUUCAGUUCAGGUGUUUUUCCAUAUUACAACACUGUGGAGUUUUUUCUUUACAAGCAAUUUUUUUUCUUUGGGCGUACGCAAGUGUGCCCAGAGUAUACAAACACAAACAAUUUUGUAAUUUUAAUUUUACUAGUCAAUAGCGCUUAUUUAUUUAAGCAAUAAACCAAAAUAUUCAAAACUUUCAACAACGGAUCUCUUGGUUCUCGCAUCGAUGAAGAACGCAGCGAAAUGCGAUACGUAAUGUGAAUUGCAGAAUUCCGUGAAUCAUCGAAUCUUUGAACGCACAUUGCGCCCCUUGGUAUUCCAGGGGGCAUGCCUGUUUGAGCGUCAUUUCCUUCUCAAACAUUCAUGUUUGGUUGUGAGUGACACUCUUCGGAGUUAACUUGAAAUUGUUGGCUGUUUCGAUUGUCUUUCAAAUUUCUCAAAAAGAAUAUUCUCAGUGAGGAUUGAUUUUUUGUCGUAUUAGGUUUUACCAACUUCGGCGGUAGUCAGUUUGAGCUGGGGGUGUGAAGUUCUGUUUGUAGAAAGUUGUGGCAGUCUGGGCGAACAAUACUCUUUAAGUUUGACCUCAAAUCAGGUAGGAUUACCCGCUGAACUUAA
RNAcentral lists this ribosomal RNA (708 nucleotides) under Kazachstania sp. CWL-2015. Its description in RNAcentral is "eukaryotic LSU rRNA". The stretch from base 285 to 438 matches the Rfam family "5.8S ribosomal RNA". Lineage: Eukaryota; Fungi; Ascomycota; Saccharomycetes; Saccharomycetales; Saccharomycetaceae. The record is from RNAcentral.